This 329-nucleotide unclassified non-coding RNA is filed under the name soil metagenome. RNAcentral's name for it is "partial contains 5.8S ribosomal RNA, internal transcribed spacer 2, and large subunit ribosomal RNA". The stretch from base 1 to 120 matches the Rfam family "5.8S ribosomal RNA", at positions 35 to 154 of the family's 154-position model. The record is from RNAcentral.
GAUGAAGAACGCAGCGAAAUGCGAUAAGUAAUGUGAAUUGCAGAAUUCAGUGAAUCAUCGAAUCUUUGAACGCACAUUGCGCCCCUUGGUAUUCCGAGGGGCAUGCCUGUUCGAGCGUCAUUAUAACCCCUCAAGCUCAGCUUGGUGUUGGGGCCUGCUGCACUGGCAGCCCUUAAAAUCAGUGGCGGCGCCAUCUGGCUCUAAGCGUAGUAAUUCUUCUCGCUAUGGAGUCCUGGUGGAUGCUUGCCAUCAACCCCCAAUUUUUCUAUGGUUGACCUCGGAUCAGGUAGGGAUACCCGCUGAACAUAAGCAUAUCAAUAAGCGGAGGA